RNAcentral lists this ribosomal RNA (453 nucleotides) under uncultured bacterium. RNAcentral's name for it is "bacterial SSU rRNA". It matches the Rfam family "Bacterial small subunit ribosomal RNA", at positions 341 to 786 of the family's 1533-position model. The record is from RNAcentral.
ACGGGAGCAGCAGUGGGGAAUAUUGCACAAUGGGCGAAAGCCUGAUGCAGCUAUGCCGCGUGUAUGAAGAAGGCCUUAGGGUUGUAAAGUACUUUCAUCGGGGAGGAAAAACAAAACUAAUAAUUUUAUUUCUUGACGUUACCCGAAAAAGAAGCACCGGCUAACUCCGUGCCAGCAGCCGCGGUAAUACGGAGGGUGCUAGCGUUAAUCAGAAUUACUGGGCGUAAAGAGCACGUAGGUGGUUUUUUUAAGUCAGAUGUGAAAUCCCUGGGCUUAACCUAGGAACUGCAUUUUGAAACUGAAAUACUAGAGUAUCGUAGAGGGAGGUAGAAUUCUAGGUGUAGCGGUGAAAUGCGUAGAUAUCUGGAGGAAUACCUGUGGCGAAAGCGGCCUCCUAAACGAAUACUGACACUGAGGUGCGAAAGCGUGGGGAGCAAACAGGGAUUAGAUACC